RNAcentral lists this ribosomal RNA (497 nucleotides) under uncultured bacterium. Its description in RNAcentral is "partial 16S ribosomal RNA". It matches the Rfam family "Bacterial small subunit ribosomal RNA", at positions 28 to 507 of the family's 1533-position model. The record is from RNAcentral.
GAUGAACGCUGGCGGCGUGCCUAAUACAUGCAAGUCGAGCGAACAGACGAGGAGCUUGCUCCUCUGACGUUAGCGGCGGACGGGUGAGUAACACGUGGAUAACCUACCUAUAAGACUGGGAUAACUUCGGGAAACCGGAGCUAAUACCGGAUCAUAUAUUGAACCGCAUGGUUCAAUAGUGAAUGACGGUUUUGCUGUCACUUAUAGACGGUUCCGCGCCGCAUUAGCUAGUUGGUAAGGUAACGGCUUACCAAGGCAACGAUGCGUAGCCGACCUGAGAGGGUGAUCAGCCACACUGGAACUGAGACACGGUCCAGACUCCUACGGGAGGCAGCAGUAGGGAAUCUUCCGCAAUGGGCGAAAGCUUGACGGAGCAACGCCGCGUGAGUGAUGAAGGUCUUCGGAUCGUAAAACUCUGUUAUUAGGAAAGAACAAAUGUGUAAGUAACUAUGCACGUCUUGACGGUACCUAAACAGAAAGCCACGGCUAACUACGUG